This 468-nucleotide ribosomal RNA is filed under the name uncultured bacterium. RNAcentral describes it as "partial 16S ribosomal RNA". It matches the Rfam family "Bacterial small subunit ribosomal RNA", at positions 28 to 507 of the family's 1533-position model. The record is from RNAcentral.
GACGAACGCUGGCGGCGUGCUUAACACAUGCAAUUCGAACGGAAAUGCCCUGCUUUUGUGGGGUGCUCGAGUGGCGAACUGGUUAGUAACACGUUAGUAACCUUCCCUUGACUUUGUGAUAACUUCAUGAAACUUGGGCUAAUACCGGAUAGGAGCUCCUGCUGCAUGGUGGGGGUUGGAAAGUUUCGGCGGUUGGGUAUGGACUCGCGGCUUAUCAGCUUGUUGGUGGGGUAGUGUCUUACCAAGGCUUUGACGGGUAGACGGCCUGAGAGGGUUACCGGCAACAUUGGGACUGAGAUACGGCACAGACUCCUACGGAAGGAAGCAGUGGGGAAUAUUGGACAAUGGGCGGAAGCAUGAUGCAGCAAGGACGUGGGCGGGAUGACGGCCUUCGGGUUGUAAACCGCUUUUGGCUGUGACGAAGCGUGAGUGACGGUAAUGGGUAAAGAAGCACCGGCUAACUACGUG